AGUGGGGAAUAUUGGACAAUGGGGGCAACCCUGAUCCAGCGACGCCGCGUGUGUGAAGAAGGCCUGCGGGUUGUAAAGCACUUUUAGUGGGGAUGAAAAGCCGAAGGCUAAUACCUUUCGGUCUUGACCUAACCCACAGAAAAAGCACCGGCUAACUCUGUGCCAGCAGCCGCGGUAAUACAGAGGGUGCAAGCGUUAAUCGGAAUUACUGGGCGUAAAGCGUGCGUAGACGGUUAUGUAAGUCAGAUGUGAAAGCCCAGGGCUCAACCUUGGAAUUGCAUUUGAGACUGCAUAGCUAGGGUGCGGAAGAGGGAAGCGGAAUUUCCGGUGUAGCGGUGAAAUGCGUAGAUAUCGGAAGGAACACCAGUGGCGAAAGCGGCUUCCUGGUCCAGCACCGACGUUCAGGCACGAAAGCGUGGGGAGCAAA
This 427-nucleotide ribosomal RNA is filed under the name uncultured Acidibacter sp. RNAcentral describes it as "bacterial SSU rRNA". It matches the Rfam family "Bacterial small subunit ribosomal RNA", at positions 353 to 772 of the family's 1533-position model. Lineage: Bacteria; Pseudomonadati; Pseudomonadota; Gammaproteobacteria. The record is from RNAcentral.